This is a long non-coding RNA of Onychostoma macrolepis, 1646 nucleotides long. RefSeq lists it as uncharacterized. The record is from RefSeq and is a predicted model, not a curated record. The transcript is spliced from 5 exons. NCBI's taxonomy places the organism in Eukaryota, Metazoa, Chordata, Actinopteri, Cypriniformes, Cyprinidae.
GAAAAGUACAAUAUUUUGAAAAACAUGUUUAACAUUUACAAUGUACAAACCUUUGUCAAAUAGUAUUAACCAUUGCAAUAUUUAAAAUAUGUUGUUUAAUAUGGGUUAUGCUACCUUGGUUGAUUAGGUUGUUGUUCAUUACAUGAUACAUUAAUUGUAAUAGGUGUUUAUAAAUUUGUUCAAGCUUGACGCCUUUAUUUUCUAAUAUAUAUUUCUGAAUUCCCACAAGGAUUUCAACAUUAUAUCUGAAUUAAAGUAAAUAAAUAAUUAAUAAAAAAAAAAAAAAAAAAAAACGUUUAUUUGUGUUUAAAUUCAAACAACACAGACUAAACCUGAUUGGUUCCAGAGCCAUUGAACGGCUCUGAUUGGUUCAUGUGAUAAUGAGCUAGCAGCAGAGAGCUUCGUAAAUCAGAUAUGAUGUGCGUGCAGAUGUCCCUUGAAUGUGAAUAUAAGUCUAAAUGUAAACAGUAUUAUAGAGCGAUCGUGUCUCUUUAGGGCGCUUGGAGGAAACCACGCAAUUCAUAUGGAUUACUUUGGCGAUAUUUUUUUGCGAUUAACUUUUUGAAACGUGAACAUCGUUGAUGAAUCUAUUCAUCGGAGGAACAUAAAUCUCUCAGAUUUCAUUAAAAUAUCUCCGCUUUUCUUUCGAAGAUGAACGAAAGUCUUAUAUGGUUUGGAGCAUCUUAAGGCUUAUGCGAGCGUGUAUGGCGUCUGGCUUCGGAACCUCACUCUGACUUCAGAUAAGAACAAAGAUUAAAUUGUAAGAGCAUACAGUACAUCUGAAACUGCUGAGGCUGGGAAGGUUUUUGACUAUAUUUCCGACCAGAUCAGCUGCUAUAGAAGACAAACUGAAAUCUGAGUGCAGAGACAAGCAAAGGAAUAGCACUUGUGCAAAAUAUUGUAUGCCUGAACGACUAGUCUGUGCCCCGGUCUCCGGAACCUGCAACGACACUCAGCUCCAUCGGCCCUCCAUCUGUGCCUUCAGAUCCACCAGCUCUCUCUCCAUUGGUCGGCCCCCAGAUGUCGGCAGCCACACCAUCUACAUCUUGGAUCCUCGCUCCCUCGACUCUGCCGUGUGUUAUCAGCACUGGGAUGCUCUGGGUCUGUGCCAUGUGCCAAACACUAUCUAAGCCGCCAGGGCAUCAUCGUCAUCCUCCCAUCACCAUCCCUUCACCACAUCCUGCCAUCAUUCCGCACCUUUGCCUCUCACCAUCCCUACAUCAUCUCCUCGUCCACCUCCAAAACCCCUCCAUCCCUCCCUAUUCUGUUGCUUGAACUUUAUCAUCUUCAGUCUUUGCACACACAUCUAUUCACUUCUGCACUUUGUUUUUCAGUAAAUCUUUGUUUUUUUUUCUUUAGAAAAUUGCAUUGUAAUUUGUAUUUAUUCACUGAUGUAAAAUUCUUUACUUUUCAGUAAUACAGGUAUAACUGAAAUGUUCUACAAAUGGAUAAGAUGGCUCUUCCAUAGCAUUUCAGUCUUUUUUUCAUUUAUUAUGUUUUUUGUAUAAUGUUUUAAAAUGUACUUGAGUAUGUUUUUAAUAGUAUAUGUAAUAGUUUUUGUUUUUCACCAAAGUAUAUAUGCUGCUGUACUUUUUAAAUGUACUUUAUGAAUAUUUGAAAUGUACACAAUAUAUAAUACAUUAAAG